RNAcentral lists this unclassified non-coding RNA (336 nucleotides) under Hevea brasiliensis (rubber tree). The record is from RNAcentral. Lineage: Eukaryota; Viridiplantae; Streptophyta; Magnoliopsida; Malpighiales; Euphorbiaceae.
GUGUGUGUGUGUGUGUGUGCAAAUGAUGGAUAUGCAUGCCAGGGUACUGUAAACUGGUUACAAAGUUUAUUUACUCUGGAUGCACUAUUCUAUUUUUGAUGCCAUUAUGAGUUGGGCCAUCCUUGCAUGUUAUUAACAUCCUCAUAGGCUUUUGAUAUUGAUUGCAUAUAGUUAAUAAGAAUUAUUAAAAUUUGAGAUUAUUAAAAGGCGCACAUCCUUUGAAGUUAUUGCAAUGAUUUACCGUCCUGCACAAUCUGUGGUAAUUUUUUCCCCCAAAUUAUUUAUGUUUUUCUGAUGAGAGAAAGUACAUGCAAUUUAAUUGGUUUAUCUUACAGG